Molecule: ribosomal RNA, 253 nt
Filed under: uncultured bacterium
Lineage: Bacteria
Description: partial 16S ribosomal RNA
Rfam family: Bacterial small subunit ribosomal RNA
Source: RNAcentral
UACGUAGGGUGCAAGCGUUAAUCGGAAUUACUGGGCGUAAAGCGUGCGCAGGCGGUUGUGCAAGACAGGUGUGAAAUCCCCGGGCUUAACCUGGGAACUGCACUUGUGACUGCACAGCUGGAGUACGGCAGAGGGGGAUGGAAUUCCGCGUGUAGCAGUGAAAUGCGUAGAUAUGCGGAGGAACACCAAUGGCGAAGGCAGUCCCCUGGGCCUGUACUGACGCUCAUGCACGAAAGCGUGGGGAGCAGACAGG